Molecule: ribosomal RNA, 434 nt
Filed under: uncultured Pseudobutyrivibrio sp.
Lineage: Bacteria; Bacillati; Bacillota; Clostridia; Lachnospirales; Lachnospiraceae
Description: partial 16S ribosomal RNA
Rfam family: Bacterial small subunit ribosomal RNA
Source: RNAcentral
ACGGAAGGCAGCAGUGGGGAAUAUUGCACAAUGGGCGAAAGCCUGAUGCAGCGACGCCGCGUGAGCGAAGAAGUAUUUCGGUAUGUAAGGCUCUAUCAGCAGGGAAGAUAAUGACGGUACCUGACUAAGAAGCACCGGCUAAAUACGUGCCAGCAGCCGCGGUAAUACGUAUGGUGCAAGCGUUAUCCGGAUUUACUGGGUGUAAAGGGAGCGUAGGCGGAAUUUUAAGUCUGAUGUGAAAGCCCAGGGCUCAACCCUGGUACUGCAUUGGAAACUGGAGUUCUAGAGUGUCGGAGGGGUAAGUGGAAUUCCUAGUGUAGCGGUGAAAUGCGUAGAUAUUAGGAGGAACACCAGUGGCGAAGGCGGCUUACUGGACGAUUACUGACGCUGAGGCUCGAAAGCGUGGGGAGCAAACAGGAUUAGAUACCCUGGUA